CCAGACUCCUACGGGAGGCAGCAGUGGGGGAUAUUGGACAAUGGGGGGAACCCUGAUCCAGCGACGCCGCGUGAGUGAAGAAGUAUUUCGGUAUGUAAAGCUCUGUCAGCAGGGAAGAAAGCAAUGACGGUACCUGACCAAGAAGCCCCGGCUAACUACGUGCCAGCAGCCGCGGUAAUACGUAGGGGGCAAGCGUUAUCCGGAAUUACUGGGUGUAAGGGGAGCGUAGACGGCUGUGCAAGUCUGGAGUGAAAGGCGGGGGCCCAACCCCCGGACUGCUCUGGAAACUGCAUGGCUGGAGUGCAGGAGAGGUAAGCGGAAUUCCUAGUGUAGCGGUGAAAUGCGUAGAUAUUAGGAGGAACACCAGUGGCGAAGGCGGCUUACUGGACUGUAACUGACGUUGAGGCUCGAAAGCGUGGGGAGCAAACAGGAUUAGAUACCCUUGUA
This 447-nucleotide ribosomal RNA is filed under the name uncultured bacterium. RNAcentral describes it as "bacterial SSU rRNA". It matches the Rfam family "Bacterial small subunit ribosomal RNA", at positions 331 to 792 of the family's 1533-position model. The record is from RNAcentral.